GGAAGAAAGAAAUGGGAAGAAAGAUGAAAAAAUGGAUGCUGUGUGGGCUCAACAACCAGAAAAUUCAAGGUAUUUCGACUAUUUAUGUCUAGUCAUUUUAUUCAUCAUCGUUUGUUCAAAAACGAACUAAGGUGCCGCCUCGCCUCGCGCUUUAAGUGCCUAGGCGGUGACCCCCCCGCCCCCCCACCCAAAUGCCUGGACNNNNNNNNNNNNNNNNNNNNNNNNNNNNNNNNNNNNNNNCCCCCCCACCCAAAUGCCUGGACGCCUUAAAAACCAUGAUGAUUGCUGAGGUGGCAUGGUUGCAUGAAUAGAUCAGUGCACAGAUUGCAACUUAUGACCACAUGCAUGACUUGAUGAUGUGGCAUGGUUGCAUGAAGAGGAAAAAUGGGUUGCAACUAUUUAAGAAUAGAGAAUUUAUUUAAAUUGCACGGAUCAGAAGGGAAUCAUGGCAAAAGGAAGCCUGCUACUAAAAUGCAACUGGUCAGUUUGAAAAUGCAAUAAGGAUGUGGGUUUAUUCAAGCUGUAUUUGAGAAAAACAUGAGAUAGGUAUCCAAUGAAAUAAAGUGAGAUUCUGCAGUUCUAAGUGGUUACAAGUUUAAACCCUGGCGCAAAUAACUCUUAGCUAAGCUCACUGUGAGAACAGAUGAUCUAAAAAUGUACUGGACUUCACAUGAGCUCCACUUGCAGGCCAGUAGUUCUUUUACCUCUGGAAAUGACAGUUGACCCAUUUCUGGACAUAACAAUGCUUGUCUCAGCUGCCAUUUCUAAACUGGUUUGUUGUUCUAGCCCAUUUUCCUCUUGCCCUGCUCGCUGUGUAUUUUGUUCAACUCCUGUUGAGUCUUGAUUUCCUUCUUGCAGUUCACUGUUUUCCUCAUUUAUUCCAUUUUCUUCUGGUAGAUUUGUAUUGUCUAACAUGAUCUUUGUUGUCUUGUGCUUCUUUUUGUAGAAAUAAAUUAUCAAUGCUAUCAAAAGGGAAGAAGUUGAAGCAACUCCAGUAAGUAUGAAUAAUCCCCUGAAGUUGGCAAAUGUGAGUGUGCUUGAGCCAGUGAGAGGGCCAACAUUCUGGCAAUUGUUUUGAUCCCCAAUCCAUUUCUUCUCAAUCUGGAUCAUAGUAUCCCCCCCGGUUACGUUGAGGAUUGCAUUUGAGAUGUCCCUAAGUAAGGGAUUUCCCUUUGAUAAUGCCUGUGCAACAAAUGUGGUCAUUUUAUUGUUCAUUUACACCAACCGUCAAAACUCGAACAUAUCUUAUCUGACUGAGGUAAAAGUAUAACUCUAUAAGCGCAAUCAAACAUUAUCAACUAUUCAGUAAUCUGUCUGGCCCUAACCUUUAUCACAUGAAUACAUGAUUGCUAGUAGGCAGUAGGCACCAUAGUAGGUUAUCAGACCAAGAUAAUUAGUAUAGGAUGUUCAGAUGUAUUUAUGUGAUUGCUAGUUGAAUUCAUUUUUUUAGAACCAAUUGAUUUGGUUAUAGUGACUUUCUCUGUAGGUAUAUAGUGUGAAAGAAGCAUAUCUAAUGUAGUUAAACUUACAUAUCCAAAACCUGCAGCCUUAUAAAUUGGUCCCACCAUUGUGUAUCCCUUGCAGUGGUUUGACAGGAAUAGUUUAAUGUACGGAACCUCAUGCACAAGAGCAGCAAUACCACCAUUGUUGCUUCCUCGGGAAAGUGCUUCAUGAAAAUCAUCAGGAUCGUAGGGCUUGAUCUUCAACCUGUCAAAACCGAGCUCUUCUAAAAGUCCCUUUACGUAUGAGCCACGUUGAUAUCCUACACAUUCUCCACUUUGUAGGAGUUCAUGCACAUCUGUUACUGUUGGCUGAAGCUGUUGCACAGUUAGCAUUGAUGUCAAGCUCGCAGUGUAACUUGAUGUAAGCACCAUCAGAAAUACUAGCCAAACAAUCAAAACUAUCCGGGACAGAAAGCGUUGCACAAGCUCUUCUGCAGAAAGUCACAAUGAAGUAAAUUAGACAAUUUUUGGCCAUCUCAAGUCCAAAGUUCAAAAAUGCAACAUCCAUAUCAUAUUAUUUUGUCAGUUAUAAUACAACAUGAUUCUAUGAUAAUUAUUUUCCCUCUGUUUACUGCAUAUUAAAUAUCUAAUAUUAUAUGUGUAGUGAUGAAGCUACCGCAUUUUUGAAAAUGCAAAGUUACCCAUAUAUGUUCAGGAAAUAUCAUAUGCAUUAUAUGUUUGUUAAUAGUGGCUAUUUUUAGUUGCAUCAGCAUUGCACAGUUCUUCACACGAAACCUCUCAGAUUGAUGCUGUAUAUUAUGCACCAACAUAGAAAAUGGGUAGAUCAUGGUAAGUGUACUCAACUCCCUUCAAAUAUGGAGAAAAAGAUCAUAAUCCCCAGCUGGCUGGGAAUUGGCCCACGAACAUUCUUGUUGUUUCCUAGAAAUUCCAAUAUCAAUACGACCACGCCGGUGUAGAUAAAGAAUACAACGCUUCCAAACCACAUGCCAGGUGCUAGUGGCUUCAAGAAAAUCCAUGUGUUCCUGUUUAUGCUAUCCCUUACUGGAACAAUCAUUGCUAUUCCCGAUUCUGUGUAUGGCAGAGUGAAGUCGACGUAGAAAGUUCGGUUAUACCUUAUUGUUAUAUCUCCAAUUACUAUAUCAUAUAUCUGUAAGGGCAAAAAAAACCUGUUAGCUGGCUGAUAGAAAAUAGUUCUGCCUUGAAUCUCCUUUUGGUAAGAAUGCUAAAGUAGUUGUGAAAUUCGGAAUAUAAAGAAUUAAUUAAGAGUAGCACUCAAUAGAUAGUCACACCUGCUUCGUAUGUUGUUGCCAUGUAAAAUAAUUGUUUGUACCUCUCAUAAAAGGGGUUAACGUUGCGGUCAGAAUUUUAAUACCACCUAAUUGGUGUUACGCACCGAAAUAUCAUGUGUCAUCCUUAGGUGGUUUCUUACAAAAAGUACUGAAAACAGAUAAUGGGACGACCUUAUAUGGCCAGUCUGCUCGAAAGCAGAGAAGGAUGGCAAUGGUUCUGAAGUACUGCAUGAAAUAAGUUCAAAAUAAUCUACAAUAACUAUCAUCCAAAAGAAAUAUUUGGUAUAUCUUGCCUCUAACAUGUUAAAUGAUAUGAGAGCAAGAUGCUUCAUGGCCUCAACUUUUUACUAACUAAAUAAAAUCAAUUGGGAAUACACUUGAAUUUAUUCAUACCUUAAGAUAAACUUGGUAGACAAAAUCAUUGUAAUCUUCGCUACUUCGAUCAUCCGUAGUACUGAAUAUUACAUAUUCAUAAGGGAGUGCAUAAGGAAGUUUCUUAACUGCCUCUUCAAAUACAUCAACUGAAAAACCACUUGCUUUAGUUGCACCUGUGAUAUAAUCCUUUUCGACCUUCAUAAAUUCUGGAUAUCCACUUGUGCACACACCAACUUGAAGUUUCUUCCCUCUUACAGGAAUCUGAGAACCCCGGGGUACCUCUUUGGACUCUCCUGGCCAGAUCACAGGAUAUAGGUCACGCGCUGAUCCCGAAAGUGCUGUUGCAGGUCUGCUUUUAUUUAAUUGCCGUGAGAUUCCAUUUUGUGCAGUCCAGAAUCCAAUUUCUCUCCAUCCUUCCCCUACCACAUUUAUUAUUUGAAAUGUUGAAAUUUGCAGCUGCCUGUCUGAAACGUCAAAAUUGCCACUGAGGCCUUCAAAUUGAUUCUGCAAGAUUUCUUGUAAUAGUUUUGGACCAUUACCAGAUGUUUUCAAGGUUUCCAAGCUUGUUGAGUUUCUUGUGACACCUGGUUUUGUAAACGUGGCAUUG
This 3734-nucleotide long non-coding RNA is filed under the name Hordeum vulgare. Its description in RNAcentral is "long non-coding RNA (HVUL_LNC013198)". Lineage: Eukaryota; Viridiplantae; Streptophyta; Magnoliopsida; Poales; Poaceae. The record is from RNAcentral.